CUAAAGGUGUGACACCACACACACACACACACACACACAUACCUCGGUGUGUGUCAUAGCAACCGAUCAUAGUAACCAACGUUGUAUUCAGCAUCAUAUCAUAGUAACCUUUGAAAACAUAUCUGAGGAAACUAUAUAUUGCACAUCACCUCAAUGAGGAUGCAUUCAAUAAACUAACUUCAAGUGAAGUGUAAAUCAAAGUAGUCAGUUGUCGUUUUGUCGUCAGCAUCAAGCAAGAAAGGUUCUUUCGAUCCUAUAUUCGUGCCAAGUGUAUUUCGUCUGCGUGUGUUUGAAAAAAAGAAAUGGAGUAUAUCUUGCUGUUUGUUGUGGGACAGGAUGGCAUGAUUACACGCUUUAGGAUUAAAAAGCGCUUACCACUCCGCAAGCUCAUGAACACAUUUUGCGUUCUCUUUGGUGUGGUACCGUUGGAAGCGUUGUUUGCAUACAAUGGACUGGUGAUACAAGGAACCGACACCGCAGCAUCCCUCGAGAUGCAUGAUGGAGACGCGAUUUCUGUCUACUGGGCACCCAGCAUUAUUACACCGAAUUGAUUUACGUAUAAGAUGCGUAAGGUGAGAAAAUCUCACGUCCCCCAAGAAGCGCGCGCAGAGGAAAUUGCAUACAUUCAUUAUGAAUCUGACGGGAGUCUAGUGCAGUGUGGUCAUAAUUUAUGCCCAAUAAAUAAUUUAAGGUAGCAAAGGCUUCCACCACCGUC
This is a long non-coding RNA of Anopheles funestus (African malaria mosquito), 715 nucleotides long. RefSeq lists it as uncharacterized. The transcript has 2 exons. Lineage: Eukaryota; Metazoa; Arthropoda; Insecta; Diptera; Culicidae. The record is from RefSeq and is a predicted model, not a curated record.